Molecule: ribosomal RNA, 347 nt
Filed under: uncultured bacterium
Lineage: Bacteria
Description: bacterial SSU rRNA
Rfam family: Bacterial small subunit ribosomal RNA
Source: RNAcentral
GGGCCCGCACAAGCGGUGGAGCAUGUGGUUUAAUUCGAUGAUACGCGAGGAACCUUACCAGGGCUUAAAUGUAGUGGGACAGGUCUAGAGAUAGACCCUUCUUCGGACUCAUUACAAGGUGCUGCAUGGUUGUCGUCAGCUCGUGCCGUGAGUGUCAGGUUAAGUCCUAUAACGAGCGCAACCCCUAUCGUUAGUUGCCAGCGGGUAAUGCCGGGAACUCUAGCGAAAACUGCCGGUGCAAACCGUGAGGAAGGUGGGGGAUGACGUCAAAUCAUCACGGCCCUUACGUCCUGGGCUACACACGUGCUACAAAUGGUCGGUACAGAGAGCAGCCACUACGCGAGUAG